RNAcentral lists this ribosomal RNA (254 nucleotides) under uncultured bacterium. Its description in RNAcentral is "partial 16S ribosomal RNA". It matches the Rfam family "Bacterial small subunit ribosomal RNA", at positions 524 to 776 of the family's 1533-position model. The record is from RNAcentral.
UACGUAGGGAGCAAGCGUUGUUCGGAUUUACUGGGCGUAAAGGGCGCGUAGGCGGCAAAUUAAGUCAGCUGUGAAAUCUCCGAGCUUAACUCGGAACUGUCAGCUGAUACUGAUCUGCUAGAGUGCGGAAGGGGCAAUCGGAAUUCUUGGUGUAGCGGUGAAAUGCGUAGAUAUCAAGAGGAACACCUGAGGUGAAGACGGGUUGCUGGGCCGACACUGACGCUGAGUGCGCGAAAGCCAGGGGAGCGAACGGG